GACGAACGCUGGCGGCGUGCCUAACACAUGCAAGUCGUACGGGACUCAGGGGCAACUCUGGGUUCAGUGGCGGACGGGUGCGUAACACGUGAGCAACCUGCCCUGCGGUGGGGGAUAGCCGGCCCAACGGCCGGGUAAUACCGCGUACGUCGCUGGAGUCGCAUGGCUCUGGCGGGAAAGCGGCCGCAAGGUCGCGCCGCGGGAGGGGCUCGCGGCCUAUCAGCUUGUUGGUGAGGUCACGGCUCACCAAGGCUAUGACGGGUAGCUGGUCUGAGAG
RNAcentral lists this ribosomal RNA (277 nucleotides) under uncultured bacterium. Its description in RNAcentral is "partial 16S ribosomal RNA". It matches the Rfam family "Bacterial small subunit ribosomal RNA", at positions 28 to 298 of the family's 1533-position model. The record is from RNAcentral.